RNAcentral lists this ribosomal RNA (253 nucleotides) under uncultured bacterium. RNAcentral's name for it is "partial 16S ribosomal RNA". It matches the Rfam family "Bacterial small subunit ribosomal RNA", at positions 524 to 776 of the family's 1533-position model. The record is from RNAcentral.
GACGUAGGGGGCGAGCGUUGUCCGGAUUUAUUGGGCGUAAAGCGUGCGUAGGCGGCUGCGCAAGUCGGGUGUGAAACCCCGGGGCUCAACCCCGGAACUGCAUCCGAUACUGCGUGGCUAGAGUGUGGCAGAGGGGGGUGGAAUUCCACGUGUAGCAGUGAAAUGCGUAGAGAUGUGGAGGAACACCGAUGGCGAAGGCAGCCCCCUGGGCUAACACUGACGCUCAGGCACGAAAGCGUGGGGAGCAAACAGG